AGAGUUUGAUCAUGGCUCAGGAUGAACGCUGGCGGCGUGCCUAACACAUGCAAGUCGAACGAAGCGGUUUUGGUGAAGUUUUCGGAUGGAACCGGAAUUGACUGAGUGGCGGACGGGUGAGUAACGCGUGGGUAACCUGCCUCAUACAGGGGGAUAACAGUUAGAAAUGACUGCUAAUACCGCAUAAGCGCACGGGACCGCAUGGUUUUGUGUGAAAAGCCGAGACGGUAUGAGAUGGACCCGCGUCUGAUUAGCUGGUUGGUGGGGUAACGGCCCACCAAGGCGACGAUCAGUAGCCGACCUGAGAGGGUGACCGGCCACAUUGGGACUGAGACACGGCCCAAACUCCUACGGGAGGCAGCAGUGGGGGAUAUUGCACAAUGGGGGAAACCCUGAUGCAGCGACGCCGCGUGAGUGAAGAAGUAUUUCGGUAUGUAAAGCUCUAUCAGCAGGGAAGAGAAUGACGGUACCUGAGUAAGAAGCCCCGG
This 488-nucleotide ribosomal RNA is filed under the name uncultured bacterium. RNAcentral's name for it is "bacterial SSU rRNA". It matches the Rfam family "Bacterial small subunit ribosomal RNA", at positions 8 to 496 of the family's 1533-position model. The record is from RNAcentral.